RNAcentral lists this long non-coding RNA (9379 nucleotides) under Citrus x clementina. RNAcentral's name for it is "Citrus clementina (C. clementina) long non-coding RNA (CCLE_LNC003090)". Lineage: Eukaryota; Viridiplantae; Streptophyta; Magnoliopsida; Sapindales; Rutaceae. The record is from RNAcentral.
GAUCCAGCUUGGAAAUCAGCUGAGGGUUACCAGGCCUUCGCAUGUGCGAAGUGUUAACCCGGUAUGGAACGAAGAGCAUAUGUUUGUUGCAUCUGAACCGUUUGAGGAUCUGAUUAUUGUGACUGUUGAAGAUAGGAUUAGACCUGGCAAGGAUGAGAUUUUAGGAAGAGAAUUGAUACCAGUUAGAAAUGUGCCACAAAGACAUGAGACCACUAAGCUCCCAGAUCCUCGAUGGUUCAACCUUCACAAACCUUCGUUGUCAGCAGAGGAAGGCGCUGAAAAGAACAAGGAAAAAUUCUCAAGCAAGAUUCUAAUUAGCUUCUGUUUGGAAGCAGGUUACCAUGUUUUUGAUGAAUCCACACAUUUUAGCAGUGACCUGCAGACCUCAUCGAAGAGCCUGAGGAAGGGUAGCAUUGGGACUCUUGAGCUUGGCAUUUUGAGUGCAAAGAAUUUGAUGCAAAUGAAGAGCAAGGAUGGUAAACUGACUGAUGCAUAUUGCGUGGCCAAGUACGGGAACAAAUGGAUUCGAACCAGAACAAUCCUUGACACACUGGCUCCUAGAUGGAAUGAGCAGUAUACUUGGGAUGUUUAUGAUCCGUGUACUGUAAUCACAAUUGGAGUAUUUGACAAUUGCUACGUCAAUGGAAGCAAAGAUGACGCGAAAGAUCAGAGAAUCGGAAAGGUGAGAAUUCGAUUAUCAACUUUAGAAACCGAUCGUAUAUACACCCAUUACUAUCCCUUGUUGCUACUCACGCCUUCUGGUUUGAAGAAUAAUGGGGAACUUCAUUUGGCUUUAAGGUUUACGUGUACAGCUUGGGUAAACAUGGUGACAAAAUAUGGAAGGCCGUUGCUUCCCAAAAUGCAUUAUGUCCAACCAAUACCUUUUAUACUCAUUGAUAGGCUACGGCAUCAAGCAAUGCAGAUAGUUGCAGCAGGGCUGGGAAGAGCAGAGCCGCCACUGAGACGCGAGGUAAUGGAGUACAUGCUGGAUGUGGAUUACCAUAUGUGGAGUUUGAGGAAAUGCAAAGCCAAUUUUCAAAGAAUUGUGGAACUUCUUUCAGCUAUUUGUAGAUGGUUCAAUGACAUAUGCACAUGGAGAAACCCAGUGGAGACAGCCCUUCUUCAUGUAUUGUUCUUGACACUCGUUUUCUACCCUGAGUUGAUACUGCCAACAAUUUUCCUGUACCUCUUCCUAAUUGGGAUGUGGAACUAUCGGUUGAGGCCAAGGCACCCACCUCACGUGGAUGCUAAGCUCUCGCAAGCAAUAAAUGCACACCUAGAUGAGCUAGUCAAAGAAUUUGAUACGUCAGAUGAGCUAGAUGAAGAAUUUGAUUCGUUUCCAACAUCACGACCAUCAGACACCGUCCGGAUGAGAUAUGAAAGGCUACGCAGUGUGGGAGGUCAGUUGCAGACAAUGGUUGGAGAUUUGGCCUCGCAAGUCGAAAGAGCUCAAGCGAUCCUCUGCUGGCGUGAUCUAAGAGCUACGUUUAUCUUUCUCAUCUUCUCAUUUAUUUGGGCAGUGUUUAGUUAUGUUACUCCAUUCGAGGUGGUGGCAGUUCUGAUUGGCCUUUACAUGCUGCGCCAUCCCCGGUUCAGGAGCAAGAUGCCUUCAGUACCUGUCAACUUCUUCAAAAGUUUUCCGUCCAAGUCAGAUAUGCUGAUAUAAGAUGGAAACUUUCUCAGUACAUUCAUUCUUGUAGAUGUGAGUAAGGAAAAAUCCUUCCACGAAAUAAAUCCAUCUAAAUCAUAGCAGCGGACGGAAAAAUAACAUCGGUGAUGCUCUUCCUCCCCUACCCGCAAAAGCAUUUAAUCCCAGCAUUUUCUCAGACCCCAUCAAUCUUAUUUCGCUUUAUAUCUACGUGUAUUUAUGCAGCUUGUAUGCACUUCUAUUGUGGUACUUUACUAUCUAAGUAGUAAGAUCACCUAAUAAAAGAAUAGCUUGCCAGUAUUAAGCAAUUCGAAAUUUUUUAUAAAUAAUAUAUAAAUAUCAAACAAAAAACAAGGCAAUUAAGAUCAUAGAAAAUGAUUAGCAGCAUCAACCAUAUGAAAUCACGCCAUCCAUGGAGAUCAAUUUUAUCAGUGAACUUAUAUUCAAAAUUGGUUACACACACGCUUCAUAAAACAACUCCAUACAAGAAAGUUACAUUUAUUUAUAUUUUAAAAAAAAUUCAUUUGGUUGACAAUGUUCUAAAUCCUAUGUUUAUAAGCAGGGCUACAAUUAUCAAGAAACUAACAAGCAUUCCACCCAGAAGAGCCCUAUCCACAAAACCCCACUCGCCCGUAUUCCCUCCCAUCCAUACCUACUUUUUCUUGGAUCCCAAGGGAAAAUCAUUUUCCACUCCUUUCAAGUGGUUCUUCCACUUCCUUAGCAACCAUCCAAUAACAUUUUGGCUGUUUAUAUCUUCUGCAAAUCUUUCAAUCCAGGAAACUUGGCCUUCCUCCAAAGUAAUUUUUCCUUCACAGCAUUCCAAUCCACAAGCACUAGGAUCUGGCUCAUUUGAACAUGCACAAGGUUCAUUUUGGCUAGAGUAGGGAGAACAUUUGUCCUGACCAACCUGACUAGAUAUUCUCUUGUGUGACGCUAUUUUAUCAUUUCCUUGGCUGAGAAUUUUGAUAACUUCUCCAAACACAGACCACUUUCCAACAGAUGUUAUCUUCACCAAAGCUGAGGUACCCAGCAUAUUUUCUGUGCUAAGUACAAGUAUCUACACAUAUCCCUUGGUUUGCCCAACCUUAGACAAAAAGGGAAUAUGAAGUUAGAUCGAAGUCAUUAAAUACUAUAACAAAAGAGUUGAUUAAAUAAUAUUUGUUUUAUCGAAUUAUCAGGCUGCUUUGGUUCAACUAUCAUAAGAUUACUACGAGUAUAGAUGUACAAAGAGGAGACACCACUACUAUCGGUAACAGACGUUGGAAAACCUCUGGAAGCCAAAAUCCAGUGGCAACCACUGAGGUCGUUUGAGGCUUUUUGUUCGUUAAAUAAGUCGGGGAUGAGUCUCAGAUGUGGCCACGCGGAUUCCCUUAGUUAUAUUUUCUCUCGGGCUGAGCAGGGAAGACAAGAUCGCGUGGUUGAUGCGUUUGGAAUUUGUCCAAACCAUAGGGCUCUCGCGAUAGUUUCCCUAGCUAGAAUCCUCUUUGGGCUUCACUUACUUUUUUACUUUAGAUACCCAAACCCAAAUCAUGGGCUUCUGUCUAAGCAUUGAAUGUCUUCUGGUCCAUAAGGUGACUUUGCGGUAUGUUUUGUUCGGUGCCCUGAACUCAAAAGGGUAUGGACUAUUGGACUGUAAUUAAAAUACAAAUCCAUGUUUGGUACUAAAACUAAAAUCGCGUGAUUUGAGAAAAGAAAAUGACCAUUUCAUCCAUAUACUCUCACAAUUCAAUAAUGCAGCAAACUAAAUACACCAUAGUGUUUAUUUUUCGGAAUGACACUUAAUGCACCCCGACACGUACACACAUCCUUUCAAAAUUACAAAUUAAACGCACCCUUCUUUUAAUUUUUAAUUUUUCAUCCCUUUAUUAUUUUCUCAUCUAAAUUGGUUCACUUGCGGAGGAUUUUUUUUUUAAUUUUUGAAUCAAAUUGAAGAAUAUGCAUGCGGAAGGAAAUCAAAAGGACAAAGGCAAAAGUGGGAGAUCCAUAUAAAUUCUAGUAUCUACUUGUGGUGAAGUCACAGUCACCGUAUUAUGCAAAAAGCCGGCGUGUGCUGUGACGUGUGGAUUUGAUGCCACAAACAAAAUUUGAAAAAGCGGAGGCCCAAUAAUGCUACACACCUUUAUCAGUGGAUUCCAUUCCAUUUUUUUUAUCCAUCCAUCCAAUAUUAUUUAUUUAUAAUUCGUCAUAUUAUAUUAUAGUUUUGCCGAUGAAAUGAUUUCACUUUGUUGGGUUGCGUUGGGAACUCGCUGUCUUUAUUCACCCACCGCCAUCAUGGUCUCAAAGAAAACAAUACGGGGUUAAUUAAGAAAAUUGCAAAUUACUCAAUUAUUUUGGGGGAAAAGUUAGGUUUACGCAUGUACCAUAACUUCUAUAGAAAGAUAUUUUAUUCCACCAUGUCCAGACAACCAUAAGCAUAUUGUUUGAAUGAUCCCAGCUAAAUACAUCCUUCAGUUCUGUUGUUUAGUGAGUAGUUUAUGCUCUUCAACACAACAGGACCACUUUAAUAUAAAAUAACAAAAAUACAAGACAAUGUAGUAGUAGUAGUAGUAGUAGUAGUUAGUUCUUGUCUUCUUGAAUUGGAUAUUUUAUAUAAACAAAAUAGAAUAUGCAUACUGCAUACACCGUCAUAUAAGUCCAUCAUUUCAAGUCAAUUUUACACAUUUGGUAGGAGGAGUGUAAUAUUAUUAUUAUUAUUUUUUGGUGAUAUGAAUAAUGUUCGAUACUUAUCAUGUAUUAUAAUUUAUUAAAUUUCUUAACAUUAAGUAUGCAUGAAAGGGAAAGGCUAACAUUAGUAUGCAUGAAAAGGAAAGGCUAACAUCUGCGUCCACUUUGUGACCCAAAAAAAAAAAUUAAACUACUACAUUAAUUGUAACUAUUCCAGCGUAUACAGGGCCUUAACAAAUUUGUGAUAAUGGAGUUGGGACAGUAGCCGACUCUACAAUUACCAUUUAUACGUAAUAGUCAAUGUAAUGUUGCCUCUAUUAAGAUUAACCAUCUCCUCUGGAUUCUCUAAUUAUCAAAUACUCGCUUGAAGCAACUAGCAAUAGAGCGAGUGGAAGUGCUCUAAUCAACAAAUAUGAAACGGUUGCGUAGCUGCCUCUCCAUUUCCUUUAGCGGUCAAAAUCUCAUCACUAAAAAUCGUGGAAGCAACCUUCUAUUUACCGCCAGACUACUCGGUGCGCUUCGACAAACUUCCAAAGAAUUUAUGGACCAUGCUUUUGCAAUUUACUGAAAUACCCUUCCAUCUCCCAUCAACACUUGUGGUUCAUUCACUUGUUAUUAUUCUCAUCAAUGAUUGAUUGUAUAUGCAGUAUAAGGGUGAUAUAGUUUUUUAAAUAGAAUAUAUUUAAUUAGAGUUUUUGUUAAUAGAGUUUUUAUAAAUAAAAAUUUUAUUUAUAAAAAUUUAGUUUUUUGGUUGUAUAAAAUUAUUUUAAUAAGCAUGUUAUUUAAAGUUAUGUUAUGAAGUGAAUAAAAUAAUAUUAUGAAAUAAGUAAAAGACAUUUUAAGUAUUUUAAUAUUUUGAAAAGUUUUUCAAUCUCUAUUUUUAAAAGUAUAAAAUUUGAGUUUUUUUUUUUAGUAGAGGCAAAAUAACAUAUUUUAUUUUCAAAAGCUCUAGUGAAAAGACAAUCAAACCACAACCCAAAAAAAAAAAAAAAAAAUUUGAGAGGAGAUUAUAAAAUUAAAUAAACGAUUAUAACUAUUGGAUAAACUACACCAAACACACACUAACUCUUAUAAUUGAUAAAGUGCAAGAAACAAAGGAAAUACUAAUUAUGAUUACAACCUUGUUUUAAGACCAAAAAUGUAUUUUCAAAUUAUAGUUUUGUUACAAAAUUUUAUUAGUUCUUUUUGGGUUAGAAGCAUCUCAGCAAUAUGCAAUGUGCUAGAUCAACUUUAUUCAUAGGAAAAGGCCACUAUGAAAAAGUUGGGGACCCCUUUAUUUGGACUUUUGGUCCAUAUAUUGUAAAAUAAUGCAACCCACAAAAUAAGAAUCCUCCCAAUGAAGCAAAAGAAAUAAAUAAACAAAACAUAGCUCCUAAGCGAAUUUCAGUGAUCCUAUAUGUAUUAUUACUUGAAAGUCGGUGCUAGUUAGUUGAUUGAAAGGGGAAAAAACAAAAACACAAAUGUCAUUUAAACAUAGAGUUGAGCCUCCAUCCCUUCAAAAUUCACAUGAAAUCCUACUUUUUAUAUUUACAAUUUUUUUUAAAAUUACAAAAAAGAUUAAAAAAUUACAAUAUAGUUUUAAUUGAUUUUACAAUCAUCUAGAAUAAAGUAAUUGAAUUAUAAAUAUAUUUUUUUCAAUAAAAAAACUUAGUAUUAGGUGACUUAUUUCUUCAUUGAUUCAAAAUAUAACUUAUUUAUUAAAAAAAUAAUUAUAUUUGUUAAAUUUUAAAGAUAGUUGAGAUUCAUGAUUUAUAAAUAAUUUAAAUUUAAUUAAAUUUAUAAUAGUUCUUUUAUGUAUUUUUCUCUCAUUAAACAACUAAGAUUGUAAAAAUGGAGUUUUUUUUUUUUUUAAGAUAUUAAAGGGGUGCGAAAAACAUUAUUGAUAAGGGUCUUGAGUGUAUGUUAACCACAUCCGUUGACAUUUAGGAAUGGGUUCAGAAUUCUAUGUGAAAGCUGCCGAUUAGUGAUUAGAUUAUUAAUGGGUUUAAGGUGUGUUUGCUUCUGUCGAGCUUGAUCAGUCGCUCAGUAAAAAAUCUUAAAUUUUUAUUAUUUUUUAGUAAUAUUUGCAAUAGCCUAAGUUAUAAUUACGCUGUCGGGCGUCUGAGGUGGAUCAGCUUCACCGACAGGUCAAAUAUUGUUGGUGAUCAUCGAUUGAAUUGAAGGCCGAACUGUAGCUGAAACAUCACUCAAUCAACUUCGUGUACAAGAUAAUAUUUAAUGGCUCUCAACUAACUGAUGAAAUUCAAUGCCGCCAGCAUCUGAUUGUAGUAACCAGUGGGUGCUGCUACCAUUGAAUUUCUAUUAUCAUCCCUUCAAGAGAAAUUGUACAGAGCAGCACAGCUACAUGCAGAAUUCAAAUAGUUGGCCUCUCUCAGUUCAUAUUGGAAAUCAAAUCAAAUAUGAAAUUCAAAAGGCAGGCAAAAGAAAAGUCUAUCCGUCACACGGGGGAAAAAAAAAAUUAUGAAAUUUCUCAAACUUUUAAAACAAAGGAGUACUAAUGAAAUUUUUUGGAGUUAGACCGGACCACAUCCACGUUUGGUAUUAAUAAUGGAUGUGCAUCUGCUUAAUUCCUUGAAAAGGAGAGAUCCUUCUAAAAGGGGAUUGAAGAUUGCUUUUGGACAAACUUUUAUGUAUUCUUCUUGAUUCAUGAAUGAAGUGGUCAUGAUUUUUGAUUCAUUUUCACCUCACCCCCAACCCAUAAUAAUAAUAAUAAUAAUAAUAAUAAUAAAAAUAAAUAAAUAAAUAAAAUUACAUUUCUUCUCUUCCACAUAAACAUCAACUAUAUAUCAAGCCCCAGCGCAGCACCCACUUAAAUAUUGCAUUCAUAUCUAUAAUCAGUCUCUCUCUUAUUAUUUAUUAACAAACAAGUGUGCCCACCAGAAUCAGUUUCUAUCAAAGAUAUAUGAAUGAAUUGUGGGGUCACCAAAUGACAUGUUUCACUCUCUUUCUAACAUAUGUUUCUGUCUUCAUACUCCAAAAUUCAAAUUGAACAAAACAUCUCAAUUUCAUCAUCACCCUUUUCUUCUUUUCUCUACCUGUCUCUCUCUUCCUCUUCCACCACCACCACCACCAUUACCAUUUCUAUCUUCUUCUUUACUCCUACAGUCCUACUUUUUCUCUACAUACCUGUAGCAAUCCAUCUUCCCUUCAAUAGAUAUAUAUGUGUAUAUAUAUAUUUUUCACUAGAACAAAUUGAAGAAGAAAGAAUAAGAUCCUCAUACUAUUCAUCAGACCCAUGGCCAGAGUGGUAGUAGAAGUUGUUGAUGCAAGUGACCUCACACCCAACCAUGGACAAGGAUCUGCUAGUCCCUUUGUUGAAGUAGACUUGGAUGAUCAGAAACAAAGAACUCAAACCAAGCCUAAAGACGUCAAUCCUUACUGGAAUGAAAAGCUUGCUUUCAACAUUAACGAUCUCAGAGAUCUUCCCAACAAGACCAUUGAUGUAACUGUUUUCAAUGAUCUCAAAGGCAGCCACGAUCGUGAUCACCACAAGAACUUUCUCGGACGUGUCAGAAUUUCAGGUGUUUCUGUCCCUUUUUCGGAGUCAGAAGCCAAUGUUCAGCGAUACCCUCUUGACAAACGCGGCCUUUUCUCUCGUGUCAAUGGUGAUAUUGCCCUCAAGAUAUACGCACACCCACUUCAUGAUGCCUCUCACUUUACAACUCCACCAACCAACGCUACUACCACUGCCAGUAGUCUUGAGACCGAAGAAACCCCACUCCAAGAAAUCAACACCAACAAGUUUGGCGAUCAUGAUGUUAAAUUAAUGUUUGAUCACGAGAAGAUCAAAAAGAAAAAGAAGGAAAAAGAAGUAAGGACUUUUCACUCAAUAGGGACGGCAGCUGGGGGUCCUGGUCCGGCUCCUGCUGCUCCGCCACCGGUGUCAUCCACGUUUGGUUUUGAGACUCAUCAAAAGCCUCCAGUGGCUGAGACGAGAAUGGAUUUUGCCAAAGCUGCUGCGCCAACACCAUCUGUAAUGCAAAUGCAAAUGCCAAAGACGAACCCAGAAUUCCUUCUGGUGGAGACUAGUCCGCCGGUAGCAGCGCGUCUGCGAUACAGAGGAGGAGACAAGACAGCAAGUACUUACGAUUUGGUGGAGCUGAUGCAUUAUUUAUACGUGGAUGUGGUUAAGGCAAGAAAUCUGCCUGUAAUGGAUGUUUCAGGGAGCCUUGACCCUUACGUUGAAGUGAAGCUUGGAAACUACAAAGGCAUCACCAAACACUUGGAGAAGAACCAAAACCCGGUAUGGCAUCAAAUUUUUGCCUUCUCUAAGGAAAGAUUGCAAUCCAAUUUGGUUGAAGUUACUGUCAAAGACAAGGAUAUUGGGAAAGAUGAUUUUGUGGGGAGAGUUACUUUUGAUCUAUUCGAAGUCCCUCAUCGUGUUCCGCCUGAUAGUCCAUUGGCUCCUCAAUGGUAUAGAUUGGAGGACAGAAAGGGUGAUAAAAUUACUAAAGGGGAAAUAAUGCUUGCUGUUUGGAUCGGGACACAAGCUGAUGAGUCUUUUGCUGCGGCCUGGCACUCUGAUGCACACAACAUCAGCCAGAAAAAUUUAGCUAACACCAGAUCAAAGGUUUACUUCUCACCCAAGCUUUAUUAUCUUCGGGUUUUUGUAUUUGAAGCACAAGAUCUUGUUCCUUCUGACAAAGGGCGAGCACCAGAUGCUUGUGUAAGGAUUCAGCUUGGAAAUCAGCUGAGGGUUACCAGGCCUUCGCCUGUGCGAACUGUUAACCCGGUAUGGAACGAAGAGCAUAUGCUUGUUGCAUCUGAACCUUUUGAGGAUCUGAUUAUUGUGACUGUUGAAGAUAGGAUUGGACCUGGCAAGGAUGAGAUUUUAGGAAGAGAAUUCAUACCAGUUAGAAAUGUGCCACAUAGACAUGAGACCGGUAAGCUCCCAGAUCCUCGAUGGUUUAACCUUCACAAACCUUCGUUGGCAGCAGAGGAAGGUGCUGAAAAGAAGAAGGAGAAAUUCUCAAGCAAGAUUCUAAUUCGCUUCUGUUUGGAAGCAGGUUACCAUGUUCUUGAUGAAUCCACACAUUUUAGCAGUGACCUACAGCCCUCGGCGAGGAG